GUGCCAGCAGCCGCGGUAAUACGUAGGUCCCGAGCGUUGUCCGGAUUUAUUGGGCGUAAAGCGAGCGCAGGCGGUUUGAUAAGUCUGAAGUUAAAGGCUGUGGCUCAACCAUAGUUCGCUUUGGAAACUGUCAAACUUGAGUGCAGAAGGGGAGAGUGGAAUUCCAUGUGUAGCGGUGAAAUGCGUAGAUAUAUGGAGGAACACCGGUGGCGAAAGCGGCUCUCUGGUCUGUAACUGACGCUGAGGCUCGAAAGCGUGGGGAGCGAACAGGAUUAGAUACCCCGGUAGUCC
RNAcentral lists this ribosomal RNA (291 nucleotides) under uncultured microorganism. RNAcentral describes it as "partial 16S ribosomal RNA". It matches the Rfam family "Bacterial small subunit ribosomal RNA", at positions 505 to 796 of the family's 1533-position model. The record is from RNAcentral.